CUACGGGUGGCUGCAGUGGGGAAUCUUAGACAAUGGGGGAAACCCUGAUCCAGCCAUGCCGCGUGGGUGAAGAAGGCCUUAGGGUUGUAAAUCCCUUUCAGCUGGGAAGAUAAUGACGGUACCAGCAGAAGAAGCCCCGGCUAACUCCGUGCCAGCAGCCGCGGUAAUACGGAGGGGGCUAGCGUUGUUCGGAAUUACUGGGCGUAAAGCGCACGUAGGCGGGCUGUUAAGUCAGAGGUGAAAUCCCGGGGCUCAACCUCGGAAUUGCCUUUGAUACUGGCAGCCUUGAGUUCGAGAGAGGUGAGUGGAAUUCCGAGUGUAGAGGUGAAAUUCGUAGAUAUUCGGAGGAACACCAGUGGCGAAGGCGGCUCACUGGCUCGAUACUGACGCUGAGGUGCGAAAGCGUGGGGAGCAAACAGGAUUAGAUACCCCUGUAGUC
RNAcentral lists this ribosomal RNA (439 nucleotides) under uncultured bacterium. RNAcentral describes it as "partial 16S ribosomal RNA". It matches the Rfam family "Bacterial small subunit ribosomal RNA", at positions 339 to 795 of the family's 1533-position model. The record is from RNAcentral.